GAUGAACGCUAGCGGGAGGCCUAACACAUGCAAGCCGAGCGGUAUUGUUUCUUCGGAAAUGAGAGAGCGGCGUACGGGUGCGUAACACGUGUGCAACCUGCCUUUAUCUGGGGGAUAGCCUUUCGAAAGUAAGAUUAAUACUCCAUAAUAUAUUGAACGGCAUCGUUUAAUAUUUAAAGCUCCGGCGGAUAGAGAUGGGCACGCGCAAGAUUAGCUAGUUGGUGAGGUAACGGCUCACCAAGGCGAUGAUCUUUAGGGGGCCUGAGAGGGUGAUCCCCCACACUGGUACUGAGACACGGACCAGACUCCUACGGGAGGCAGCAGUGAGGAAUAUUGGUCAAUGGGUGCAAGCCUGAACCAGCCAUCCCGCGUGAAGGACGACUGCCCUAUGGGUUGUAAACUUCUUUUGUAUAGGGAUAAACCUACCCUCGAGAGGGUAGCUGAAGGUACUAUACGAAUAAGCACCGGCUAACUCCGUG
This 479-nucleotide ribosomal RNA is filed under the name uncultured bacterium. RNAcentral's name for it is "partial 16S ribosomal RNA". It matches the Rfam family "Bacterial small subunit ribosomal RNA", at positions 28 to 507 of the family's 1533-position model. The record is from RNAcentral.